AGAGUUUGAUCCUGGCUCAGAUUGAACGCUGGCGGAAUGCUUUACACAUGCAAGUCGAACGGCAGCACGGGGCAACCUGGUGGCGAGUGGCGAACGGGUGAGUAAUACAUCGGAACGUGCCCAAUCGUGGGGGAUAACGUAGCGAAAGUUACGCUAAUACCGCAUACGAUCUACGGAUGAAAGCGGGGGAUCGCAAGACCUCGCGCGAAUGGAGCGGCCGAUGGCAGAUUAGGUAGUUGGUGGGGUAAAGGCUCACCAAGCCGACGAUCUGUAGCUGGUCUGAGAGGACGACCAGCCACACUGGGACUGAGACACGGCCCAGACUCCUACGGGAGGCAGCAGUGGGGAAUUUUGGACAAUGGGCGCAAGCCUGAUCCAGCCAUUCCGCGUGCAGGAUGAAGGCCUUCGGGUUGUAAACUGCUUUUGUACGGAACGAAACGGCCCUUUCUAAUACAGGGGGCUAAUGACGGUACCGUAAGAAUAAGCACCGGCUAACUACGUG
RNAcentral lists this ribosomal RNA (502 nucleotides) under uncultured bacterium. RNAcentral's name for it is "bacterial SSU rRNA". It matches the Rfam family "Bacterial small subunit ribosomal RNA", at positions 8 to 507 of the family's 1533-position model. The record is from RNAcentral.